RNAcentral lists this ribosomal RNA (1647 nucleotides) under Escherichia coli. Its description in RNAcentral is "partial 23S ribosomal RNA". It matches the Rfam family "Bacterial large subunit ribosomal RNA", at positions 1298 to 2925 of the family's 2925-position model. Lineage: Bacteria; Pseudomonadati; Pseudomonadota; Gammaproteobacteria; Enterobacterales; Enterobacteriaceae. The record is from RNAcentral.
UGACAUAAGUAACGAUAAAGCGGGUGAAAAGCCCGCUCGCCGGAAGACCAAGGGUUCCUGUCCAACGUUAAUCGGGGCAGGGUGAGUCGACCCCUAAGGCGAGGCCGAAAGGCGUAGUCGAUGGGAAACAGGUUAAUAUUCCUGUACUUGGUGUUACUGCGAAGGGGGGACGGAGAAGGCUAUGUUGGCCGGGCGACGGUUGUCCCGGUUUAAGCGUGUAGGCUGGUUUUCCAGGCAAAUCCGGAAAAUCAAGGCUGAGGCGUGAUGACGAGGCACUACGGUGCUGAAGCAACAAAUGCCCUGCUUCCAGGAAAAGCCUCUAAGCAUCAGGUAACAUCAAAUCGUACCCCAAACCGACACAGGUGGUCAGGUAGAGAAUACCAAGGCGCUUGAGAGAACUCGGGUGAAGGAACUAGGCAAAAUGGUGCCGUAACUUCGGGAGAAGGCACGCUGAUAUGUAGGUGAAGUCCCUCGCGGAUGGAGCUGAAAUCAGUCGAAGAUACCAGCUGGCUGCAACUGUUUAUUAAAAACACAGCACUGUGCAAACACGAAAGUGGACGUAUACGGUGUGACGCCUGCCCGGUGCCGGAAGGUUAAUUGAUGGGGUCAGCGCAAGCGAAGCUCUUGAUCGAAGCCCCGGUAAACGGCGGCCGUAACUAUAACGGUCCUAAGGUAGCGAAAUUCCUUGUCGGGUAAGUUCCGACCUGCACGAAUGGCGUAAUGAUGGCCAGGCUGUCUCCACCCGAGACUCAGUGAAAUUGAACUCGCUGUGAAGAUGCAGUGUACCCGCGGCAAGACGGAAAGACCCCGUGAACCUUUACUAUAGCUUGACACUGAACAUUGAGCCUUGAUGUGUAGGAUAGGUGGGAGGCUUUGAAGUGUGGACGCCAGUCUGCAUGGAGCCGACCUUGAAAUACCACCCUUUAAUGUUUGAUGUUCUAACGUGGACCCGUGAUCCGGGUUGCGGACAGUGUCUGGUGGGUAGUUUGACUGGGGCGGUCUCCUCCUAAAGAGUAACGGAGGAGCACGAAGGUUGGCUAAUCCUGGUCGGACAUCAGGAGGUUAGUGCAAUGGCAUAAGCCAGCUUGACUGCGAGCGUGACGGCGCGAGCAGGUGCGAAAGCAGGUCAUAGUGAUCCGGUGGUUCUGAAUGGAAGGGCCAUCGCUCAACGGAUAAAAGGUACUCCGGGGAUAACAGGCUGAUACCGCCCAAGAGUUCAUAUCGACGGCGGUGUUUGGCACCUCGAUGUCGGCUCAUCACAUCCUGGGGCUGAAGUAGGUCCCAAGGGUAUGGCUGUUCGCCAUUUAAAGUGGUACGCGAGCUGGGUUUAGAACGUCGUGAGACAGUUCGGUCCCUAUCUGCCGUGGGCGCUGGAGAACUGAGGGGGGCUGCUCCUAGUACGAGAGGACCGGAGUGGACGCAUCACUGGUGUUCGGGUUGUCAUGCCAAUGGCACUGCCCGGUAGCUAAAUGCGGAAGAGAUAAGUGCUGAAAGCAUCUAAGCACGAAACUUGCCCCGAGAUGAGUUCUCCCUGACCCUUUAAGGGUCCUGAAGGAACGUUGAAGACGACGACGUUGAUAGGCCGGGUGUGUAAGCGCAGCGAUGCGUUGAGCUAACCGGUACUAAUGAACCGUGAGGCUUAACCUU